This is a long non-coding RNA of Dasypus novemcinctus (nine-banded armadillo), 3865 nucleotides long. The record is from Ensembl. NCBI's taxonomy places the organism in Eukaryota, Metazoa, Chordata, Mammalia, Cingulata, Dasypodidae.
UGCAGCCUUCUCUAGCCCACGGGAUGGAACUUUCUCUACCCGUUGUGAUGGAGUUUUCUCUACCUGUUGUGAUGGAGCCUUCUCUAAGCAGAGUGCUCUGCUGAAGUUGCUGCACAGCCCUGGAUAUCUGUUCUCACAUAAUUGCUCAACAACCCUGCUCAACAUCUUGUUAUCUCAAACCCUUUGUAAGGCAUCCUGUACCUGGCUCCAAGGUUCAUGCUGUGAGAACUUCCCUGGCCCGACAGCACCCUGGGAGAUGGGGGUCAGGUUGUGCAGAGCCUGUUAGUCAUUAGGCCAGGACAAGCAGUACUCAUGCUUUCCAGGUCACAGCAGCCUUUGUGACAAUCAGGGCUUUGAAUGAAGUCACAAAGUAUUGGGAUCUUUGACUCUCCUGGCUUUGUCUUUUGAAUGCCACACUCUUUUCUUUUCAGUUCCUUCAUUGCUUCUGUAUGAAGGUGGCUCAUGACUUCCCUGGUGACUGUUUUCAUGUCCUUGCAGUGGAACAUGGCGUCAUCACCACCCCUACAGCUGAGUAUGCUGUGUCCUCCUAUCACCACCUCCACUGGCACCUCCUCCACUCCUCCUGUUACUCCUUCUAGUGCUCUGCGAUGCUGCUCUGCUUAUUCCCAAACUCGAAGACUUGGGAGAAGUGGAUACCCUGGUCUAUGAACGAUGUUGUAGAUAGGAGACCAAAGCUACAGCCCUGUGGCAGAACCAGGCGCAGAAUCCAGCUCCCAGAUUCCCAGGCUGAUAUCAUCCCUCGCACCAAGCAGUCUACACACCCUCCUGUCUCAGAGAGAGUGCCGUGUUUCAACCAGUUCAAAUGUGCUAAGAAGACUGUGUGUGGUUAUGCAAGUCCUAUGCAGACGCUAACAAUGUAAGGCAGUCAGGGAUGUCCGGGCUUUAGAGCAGGGCAGGCACGCCUAUGCUCAUGCUUCUGUCUCUCCUCCCACCCAGAGGAGGAAAAUGAUCACAGCCACUCCAUGUUGGCAGUAAAGAGCCAGAUUCCCCUCUCAGGGGUGUACCUUGUAUGCACAGGGCUUGGGGAGUAGUGAGAAUAAAGGGUGAUUUCUUUUCUUCUUGCCCAAGAGAAACUCCCUGCAAAGCAACCAAACCACAGUGAGCUUCUAAGAGGGUUUUCUAACCACUGAGAAGUCAACCCCUGAUGUCAUUUAGCACUGCUCCCUUCUUACCAACUGUCUGCUAUGACAUGAUGGAGCUAAGUAGGAGCGCUGCUGAAAUACAGUCUAGGGAGUGAGAAAUUAAGAGACAGCUGCAAGGGAAAAAGGGAUUUUUUUAAGCAAGGAAGGAAACGAGACAGCAACCAACAAAACAGAUAAAAGCAAGAUGACUGUUCCAGAGGACUGUGGAAGAGGGCAGAGUAGGAAGCUGUGGGGAUCAGUUCCUCCAGAACAACUAUUAAACACCCCAGAAAUGGUCUGAAACAACUGUUAAGAAACUCCAGUGUCUGGCAGAACACUCUACAGCAUCCAAGUAUGAGCAGGAGGAAGACACUGAUCAAUUACAGCGAAUGCCGGUAAAUUGCUGCCCCACGUGGUGGUUUCCAGCACCCAUCCCAUUCUUGUAGCAAGGCAGCAGUGGGGUCUGGCCCCUGGUGGAGCUUGCUGGUGACAGAGAGGGAUAUGAAAUUCCACUUCCCCAAGAGCCAGGGGGCUGGGCCAUGGACCAUGGAUUUUUGUUAGCUGCUAUGGAUUGCUGGGGCCCAGCUCUGAGGUGGCCCAUAUGCCAACCCACCCCUGACAAGGCAGCAGGAGACUUAAAGAUGGUAUGUUACCUGCAAAGGAUGGUUGAAAGGCUGGAUUUGCUGAUUAGGUCAAUAAAUGAUACCUUUAGGGAGCCUUGGAAGAAGCUCCUGGCACCCUUCCUGGCCCAUCAUCAUCCUCUUCUCAAGGCAAUUUGGAGCCAGCCAGUGUUCUCUUUGUAAUCCCUGACCAUGUUCCAGCCAGGGAAGCCUGAUUUGGGAAUCUCCUCUCUGCCUUGUUCCGCCUCCCAGAAUUUGCCCUCCAGGCAAAAGCAGCUUGAUACCAGCAAAGACAUAUAGGAAAUAUUUGAGGCUGAUGGCCUGGGGCAAAGGCUUACCUACUUUCAGUUGGACAGUGGAAAACCUGGGAGAGAGAGAAGGUGUGUCUACUGUGAAGUAGAACGAGCAUUGAAAAUACUGUAAACAGGGAAACUCCUAACACCAUUAGCAAGCACAAGCCCGGAACAAGACACAGGACCAGCAAGUAUAGGGAGAAUCCUACACUUUGCAUUCACCUUGGUCAGACUUUCCUGAUAGGAGGAGGGCUGACAUACAAGAAAAUCUUUGUCAUAUCACCAGCUGGUUAAAAGCUCAAGAAACAGACAUGUAAGGGAAUAAAUCUCAGAGUUAACAUUUGAAUAUUUAAAUACGUACAGUGUGCAAUAAAAAUUACAAGACAGAAAAGGAAAUAGGAAAUGAUGAGCCAGUCAUAGGAAGAAGAUAAAAAGUACACAAAUGAAGAAGGCCAGCCUAUAGAUAUACCAGAGAAAGACUUAAAAAAGUAAUCUUCCAUAUGUUUCAAGGAGAUGAAGGAAAAUACAUAGACCUAAAGGCUAUCUGGAAAACAAUGAAUGAACAAUAUUAGAUUCUUAAUCAAAAGACAGAAAUUUUAAAAAGGAAUCAAAUAGAGCUAUUGGAGAUGAAAAUCAUAAUAACCAAAUGAAAAAUUCCCAGGAGGAUUUCAACAGUAGAAUGGAGCUGGAAGAAGAAAGAAUCUGUGAACUUAAAGAAAAGACAAUUGAAUUGAGUCAGGCAGAGGAUCAGAAGAAAAAAAGAACUACAAAAAGAGAAAUAAAAUAACACUCUGGGACACCAUCAGGCACACCAAUAUAUGUAUGAUGGAAGAUCCAGAAGAAGAAGGGGGAAGAAGAGCAGAAACAAUAUUAAAGAAAUAAUGACAAAGACUCCCCAAACUUAGCAAAAAAUGUGCUGUGUAAAAGGGAGUCCUAAUUAGAUUAGGUGUCAAUUUCGCAUCAGAAACCAUGGAGGCAAGAAGUCAGUGGGUUGAAACACUUUAAGUGCUGAAAGAAUACAAUUGCCAACCAAAAAAUUUUAUAUCCUGUGAGACUUUCUUUCAAAAUAGAGGAAGAGUUCAAGACCUUCCCAGAUAAACAAAAGCUGAGGGAAUUCAUCACCACUAGAACUGCCUGACAAGAAAUCCUAAAGGGAGUUCUUCAGACUGAAAGGAAAGGACACUAGAUGUGGUUCAAAGUGGCAUAAAGAAAUAAAGACCUCGGUAAAUGUAACCAUUGGUAAUUAUAAAUGCCACUAUUAUUGUAUAGUAAUUUUUAGUAUGUAAUUUCACUUCUUACUUCCUGCUGGUACUAAAAUAUAAUUGAAUAAAAAGAAAUGAUAAAUCUAUGGUUAUGGACAUACAAUGUACUAAGACAUUUGUAACUAGUACAAAAAAAGGUAAGGGGAUGAAGGAGUAUAAGAACAGUGCAGUGUAUGCUACUGGAGACAAAUUGGUAUCAAAUCAAUAUGAGGUGGCGGACUUGGCCCAGUGGUUAGGGUGUCUGUCUACCACAUGGGAGGUCUGCGGUUCAAACCUCAGGCCUCUUUGACCCAUGUGCAGUGCUGAUGUGUGCAAGGAGUGCCGUGUUACACAGGGGUGUCCCUAUGUAGGGGAGCCCCACACACAAGGAGUGUACCCCGUAAGGAGAGCCGCCCAGCGCUAAAGAAAGUGCAGCCUGCCCAGGAAUGGUGCCGCCUACACGGAGAGCUGACACAACAAGAUGACACCACAAAAAGAAACACAGAUUCCCGUGCCACUGACAACAACAGAAGAGGACAAAGAAGAUGCAGCAAAUAGACACAGAGAAC